Molecule: RNA transcript, 1599 nt
Organism: Erigeron canadensis
Lineage: Eukaryota; Viridiplantae; Streptophyta; Magnoliopsida; Asterales; Asteraceae
Gene name: SKP1-like protein 12
Exons: 3
Source: RefSeq, a predicted model, not a curated record
UAGGGUUAGGGUUAGGGUAAUUGUUUGAUUUCCUGAAAUAAAAAUGUCUCGUCUUGAGGAGGAAUGGGAGAAUCCGUUUUUAACGUUGGAUGAUGGAAAAUUCGAGAUCACGGUGGAGUACAUCACCGAGUCUAGGCCCAUCCGUAUGCUUUGGGAGCAUAGAUGGGUGGGUGAGUUACCUGCCCCAAUCGAAGGCAAAAGCAGCACCAUCAUUAGAAAGGCUCUUGAUUUCUGCGAGGAACGUGGAAAUAUCAAGAAGCAGCAUUGGAAAGAUAGAAACACCCUCCAACAAAAGUUGAAGCUUUUCGAUGACAAGUUUUUUCAAGCCAAUCAUUCCGAUGCUACUGAUCUCGCCGAUGUGGCUUGUCGUUUGCAGAUCAGAAGCCUCUAUCACCUGAUGAAAGAAUGUGCUGCUGAAAUGCUCGCUGAGAAGACUCCUGAUGAGAUUCGCGAGCUCUUUAAACUACGUUAUGAGGCAGAUGAAACUACUGCUGCUGAUGACUUACGUAAGAUGAAAAGGGUGGUCAGCAAUGCUGGUUGGGCUUUUCGACCUCUCUCUAGCUUUUUAAAUCCUGUGGUUUCAGAUGCUUAAUAUGUAUUGGUGAUUAAUUAGGAGUCCGAGAGCUUUGUAAUAUCAUGAUGUAGAUAAUGCAAAACCAAAAGAACAAGAAUUGCAUUAAACACUAACCCCACAAAUGCCCCGAUUUCUUGACUGUCUAUUUGAAGCAGCAUUGGAAAGAUAGAAACACCCUCCAACAAAAGUUGAAGCUUUUCAAUGACAAGUUUUUUCAAGACAAUCACUCCGAUGCCAUUGAUCUCGCCGAUGUGGCUUGCUGUUUGCACAUCAGAAGCCUCUUUUGUCUGAUGAAGGAACGUGCUACCGAGAUGCUCUUUGAGAAGACUCCUGAUGAGGUUAACGAGCUCUUUAAAAUACGUUAUGUGGCAGAUGAAGCUACUGCUGCCGAUGACUUACGUAAGAUGAAAAUGGUGAUCAGGAAUGCUGGUUGGGCUUUUCGGCUUCUCUCAAGCUUUUUAAAUCCCGUGGUUUCAGAUGCUUAAUAUGUAUUGUUGAUUAGGAGUCUGAGGGAAUAUAUAAUAUUUAGGGUUUCAUAGUGAUCUAGCCACUUUGUACAUCCUUUGAGUAUAGUAUAUCAAGCAAAGCAAAAGAACGAGACCUGCAUUAAAGACUAAUCCCCCAAAUGUCCCGAUUUCUUGACUCUGUCUAUUCGAAGCCAUGAAAAAUGAUGAUCGCAAUUGCAUGAAACGUGAUUCCAUUACUUACUUAGUACUGUGGUUCAAUACUUCUAUCUGUGUGUAGCCAUGGCUGAUCGGUUGAUUUACAAAGAAAAUACUCUGAAGAGAUGAAGGAACAGAACAUUGGACCAUCACAAAUGCACUAUGUUGAUUUUUUGGGUCAGGAUGGGUGAAUGGGGGAGGCUUUACAGUGUAUUCUUGAGUUGAAAUUAGGAAAGGAAAGAAUGUAAGUGAAAGUAAAAUAACUUUUAGUUGGGUUCUAGAGUGUCUUUUGUACAGUAUUAAGAAAAGAACUGAUGUGAAGAGAAUUGAAUGGGUAUUCACUAUACAAUUUGCUUUAAAAUC